This 760-nucleotide ribosomal RNA is filed under the name uncultured archaeon. Its description in RNAcentral is "bacterial SSU rRNA". It matches the Rfam family "Archaeal small subunit ribosomal RNA", at positions 1 to 770 of the family's 1478-position model. The record is from RNAcentral.
UUCCGGUUGAUCCUGCCAGAGGUCACUGCUAUNGGGGUUCGAUUAAGCCAUGCGAGUCGAGAGGGUUCGGCCCUCGGCGUACUGCUCAGUAACACGUGGAUAACCUGCCCUAGGGGAGGGGAUAACCCCGGGAAACUGGGGAUAAUACCCUAUAGGUUACAGAUGCUGGAAUGCCCUGUAACCAAAAGCUCCGGCGCCCUAGGAUGGAUCUGCGGCCGAUUAGGUUGUUGUUGGGGUAACGGCCCAACAAGCCCGUAAUCGGUACGGGUUGUGGGAGCAAGAGCCCGGAGUUGGAUUCUGAGACACGAAUCCAGGCCCUACGGGGCGCAGCAGGCGCGAAACCUUUACAAUGCGGGCAACCGUGAUAAGGGAACCUCGAGUGCCUGUAAACGCAGGCUGUUCAGGUGUUUAAAACGCACCUGGAGAAAGGGCCGGGCAAGACCGGUGCCAGCCGCCGCGGUAAUACCGGCGGCUCGAGUGGUGGCCGCUUUUAUUGGGCUUAAAGCGUUCGUAGCUGGGUUGUUAAGUCUCUUGGGAAAUCUGGCGGCUUAACCGUCAGGCGUCUAAGGGAUACUGGCAAUCUUGGAACCGGGAGAGGUGAGGGGUACUUCGGGGGUAGGGGUGAAAUCCUGUAAUCCUCGAGGGACCACCUGUGGCGAAGGCGCCUCACCAGAACGGCUUCGACAGUGAGGGACGAAAGCUGGGGGAGCAAACCGGAUUAGAUACCCGGGUAGUCCCAGCCGUAAACGAUGCGCGUUAG